CAUCGGGAAGAGGGAAAAGGAGCAAUCCGCUUUGAGAUGGCCUCGCGUCCGAUUAGCUGGUUGGUGAGGUAACGGCCCACCAAGGCGACGAUCGGUAGCCGGACUGAGAGGUUGAACGGCCACAUUGGGACUGAGACACGGCCCAGACUCCUACGGGAGGCAGCAGUGGGGAAUAUUGCACAAUGGGGGAAACCCUGAUGCAGCGACGCCGCGUGGAGGAAGAAGGUCUUCGGAUUGUAAACUCCUGUUGUUGAGGAAGAUAAUGACGGUACUCAACAAGGAAGUGACGGCUAACUACGUGCCAGCAGCCGCGGUAAAACGUAGGUCACAAGCGUUGUCCGGAAUUACUGGGUGUAAAGGGAGCGCAGGCGGGCGAUCAAGUUGGAAGUGAAAUCCAUGGGCUCAACCCAUGAACUGCUUUCAAAACUGGUCGUCUUGAGUAGUGCAGAGGUAGGCGGAAUUCCCGGUGUAGCGGUGGAAUGCGUAGAUAUCGGGAGGAACACCAGUGGCGAAGGCGGCCUACUGGGCACCAACUGACGCUGAGGCUCGAAAGUGUGGGUAGCAAACAGGAUUAGAUACCCUGGUAGUCCACACCGUA
This 598-nucleotide ribosomal RNA is filed under the name uncultured bacterium. Its description in RNAcentral is "bacterial SSU rRNA". It matches the Rfam family "Bacterial small subunit ribosomal RNA", at positions 188 to 804 of the family's 1533-position model. The record is from RNAcentral.